GUUUGAUUUUUGAAUAAUAUGUAUUAUUUCUGUGGUCUGAAAAGAGAAGGUGGAGGAGAGAACGAAAGUCAGAGAAUAUAACCAACCCAACACACCAGAAGCUAGUGAAGCCCUGUGAAUGGCUGAUCCCAGUUCUGUAGGUCAGAAGCCAGCACUGCCUGGCGGAUUCUCUGCUCAUGGUCUCAGGAGGCUGAAAUCGAGGUGUCAGUCAGCUACAUUCUCAUCUGCAGCUUGGAAUCCUCUUCCAAACUCAUUCAGUAUUUGGCAGCAUUCAAUUUCUUCUUGGCCAUCAGCCAGGAGUCCCUGUCUCCUCCUAGAGGUUUCCCAGCUUCUUCAGCAGAUCACAACAUAGAUGCGUCCUUUCCUGGUUGGUAUCUGUGGGGGAUUGGUCCUGGGUUCCUGGGACCUGUGCAGAUAGCAAAAUCAGCAGGUUCUCCUGACCUGCAGUCGGCCCUGCAGAACCCGUGGGUAGGAAGAGGCAGCAUCCACUCUCCAGAUCUGCGGGUUCUGCAUUCCACAAAUACUGUAUUUUUGGUAAGUAGUUGGUUUAAUCCAUGCAUGUGGAACCGUGGAUAUGAAGAGCUGACUGGGCUUGCUUUCUUCCAGACCAGCAGAGUGCAUCAAACUCCAGGCUUCAAAGGGCUCAUCUGAAUAGGUCAGACCCACCCUUGAUGAUCCCUCUUUUGCUAUAAAAUGUGACAUGAUCAAAGGAGUGACAUCUGAUUCUACUUACAGGUCCAUCCUCAAAAUCUCAAAGGACCCCAAAUAGCCAAAGCAAUCUUGUAGGGAAAAAAAAAACUGGAGGCCUUACACAUUCUGAUUUCAAAACAUAUUGCAAAGCUAUAGUGAUCAAAACAGUAUGAUACUGGCAUAAAGACAGAAUAGAGUCCAGAAAUAAACCCUCACAUAUAUUGUCAAAUAAUCUUUGACAAGGCUACACAGUGAGGAAAGAUAAUCUCCUCAACAAAUGUUGUUGGGGAAACAGGAUAUCCACAUGCAAAAGAAUGAAUUUGGGCUCUUACCUUAUACCAUAUACAAAAGUUACCUCAAAAUGGACAAAAUCCUAAAUGUAAGAUCCCAAACUGUAAAACCCUGAAAGGAAAGGGGAAAAAGCUUUAUGGCAUUGGAAUUGGCGUUGAUUUCUUGACUGUCACACCAAAACAGAAAAUAGACAAAUGGGACUAUGUCAAACUUAAAAACUUCUGUGUGACAAAGGAAACAGUCAACAUGGUGAAAAGGCAACCCACAGAAUGAAAGAACACAUUUGCCAGUCAUUUAUCUGAUAACACGUUAAUAUCCAGAAUUUAUAAAGAACUCCUACAACUCAACAACAACAAAAAAACAAACAUGCUGAUUAAAAACUAGAUAAAAGACUUUAAUAGACAUUUCUCCAAAUAAGAUACACAAAUUGCCCACAAACGUAUGAAAAGAUGUGCAACAUCAUCAUUAAUCACCAGGGAAAUGCAAAUCAAAACCACAGUGGGAUAUCAUCUCAUGCCCAUUAGGAUGAUCACUAUACAAAAUAAAAAUAAAAAAAAAAACUAAAAAAAAAAAAAGUUUUGCUGAGGAUAUGGAGAAAUUGGAAACCUGCAUUGCUGCUGGGAAUAAAAAUGGUGAAUGUUUUAGUCCAUUUUUUGUGGCUAUGAAGGAAUACCUGAGGUUGAGGUUGGGUAAUUUAUAAAGAGAAAAGGUUUAUUCGAUUCACAAUUCUGGAUGGCUGGAAAGUGCAAAGCUGGGCAUCUGCAUCUGGUGAGGGCCUCAGGCUGCAUCUACUCAUAGCAGAAGGUGAAGAGCAGUCAGCAUGUGCAGAGAUCACAUGGUGAGAGAGGAAGCAAGAGGGCAAGGGGGGCGUGGUGCAGGUUCUAGUUAACAACUAGCUCCCACAGGAACUAACAGAGCAAGAACUCAUUAUCGCAAAAAUGACACCAAGCCAUUCAUGAAGGAUCUGCCCCCAUCACCCAAACACUUUUCACUAGGACCCACCUCUCAACACUGCCACAUUGAGGGUUAAAUUUCAACAUGAUAUUUGAUAGGAACAAACAAACUAUAUCCAAACCAUAGCAGUGCAGCUGCUAUGGCAAACAGUAUGGAGAUUCCUCAAACAAUUAAAAAUGGAAUUAACAUACAAUCCUGCAAUCUUAAUUCUGGGUAUAUAUCCAAAAGAACGGAACACAGACCUUGAAGAGCUAACUGCACACUCACAUUCAUAGCGGCACUGUUCACAAAAGUCAAGAGGUAGAAGCCGCCUAAAUGUCCACCAAUGGAUGGUUGGAUGGAUGGAUAAACAAAACGUGGUGCAUAGGUACAACAGAAUAUUAUUCCACCUUCAAAAAGAGGAAAAUCCGGUCAUGGACGAACCUUGAGGACAGUUCACUAAGUGAAAUAAGCUAGUCACAAAAAGAAAAAUGCUACAGGAUUCCUUUUAUAUGAGGUAUUGAAAGUAGUCAAACUUUUAAAAACAAAGUAAAGUAAUGGUUGCCAGGGUCUGGGAAAAGGGAGAAAGGAGAGUUUUUCUUCAGUGGGUCUAGAGUUUUAGUUUUACCAGAUGAAAAUUUCUAAAACUCUGAUGCACACAAGGUACUUACAGUGAGCACUACUGAACUGUGUGCCUAGAAAUGGUUAAGACGGUAAAAUUUAUAUGUUUUUGUCCACAAUUUUUAAAAAAGAAGUUUUAUGAUGACAUAGACCAUUACUAUAUCUCCAGGGUCUAACACAAGUCUGGCACAUAAUAGGUGUGAACUAAAUACUUGCUAAAUGAAGGAAUUCAUAACUAUAAAGCCUAUGGUCUUAAUUAUUGUGGAGUAUACUCUUUCUAAAAUAGUAAUAAUCAUCCCAUAUUAUAUAUAUAUCUAUAUAUAAAUUGUUAUUUCUAGGAUGAGGGAGGGAACAGGGUAUUGGAAACAACAGAUGGAAGUUAGACUAAUCGGAAUGUACCUUCCUUUGUUGUUGAUUUAGAUUCCUUUGUUUUAGAUUUGAUUUUAGAACCAUGUAAACAUUUUCCAUAAUAAUU
RNAcentral lists this long non-coding RNA (3010 nucleotides) under Homo sapiens (human). RNAcentral's name for it is "HSALNT0248298". The record is from RNAcentral. Lineage: Eukaryota; Metazoa; Chordata; Mammalia; Primates; Hominidae.